AGGAGCCGAAGAAGGACGUGACAAGCUGCGAUAAGCUGCGGUGAGCUGCACAUAAGCUUUGACCCGCAGAUUUCCGAAUGGGGAAACCCGGCAGAGCAAUACUCUGUCAACGUGCGUUGAAUCAAAUAGGCGUACGUGGGGAACCGCCUGAACUGAAACAUCUAAGUAGGGCGAGGAAGAGAAAUCAACCGAGAUUCCGCCAGUAGUGGCGAGCGAACGCGGAAGAGGCCAAACCAGAGGAUUUAUU
Molecule: ribosomal RNA, 247 nt
Filed under: Pseudoflavonifractor phocaeensis
Lineage: Bacteria; Bacillati; Bacillota; Clostridia; Eubacteriales; Oscillospiraceae
Description: partial 23S ribosomal RNA
Rfam family: Bacterial large subunit ribosomal RNA
Source: RNAcentral